Molecule: unclassified non-coding RNA, 144 nt
Filed under: soil metagenome
Description: partial internal transcribed spacer 1
Source: RNAcentral
CCGAGUUUACAACUCCCAAACCCCUGUGACAUACCACUUGUUGCCUCGGCGGAUCAGCCCGCUCCCGGUAAAACGGGACGGCCCGCCAGAGGACCCCUAACUCUGUUUCUAUAUGUAACUUCUGAGUAAACCAUAAAUAAAUCA